Ailuropoda melanoleuca (giant panda) is the source of this 2379-nucleotide long non-coding RNA. RefSeq lists it as uncharacterized. The transcript has 3 exons. Lineage: Eukaryota; Metazoa; Chordata; Mammalia; Carnivora; Ursidae. The record is from RefSeq and is a predicted model, not a curated record.
GAGCCUAGUUACGGGGACCGAUCAGGGACAAAAUCGACGGGCUGGGUGCAUGCGUGCCCUGGUUUACGUCAGUUCUUGGUUAUACGUCAGUUCCGUGUUCCGUUGCCGUGGGCUCCCGCAGAACCCCGACGUGGCGGAGACCGAGAAAUGGGUUCUCUGCUGCUUGCACGGUGAGCUGUUUUGCUGACAGAUUUCCUUACAUCACCCUCCCUACAACAUGUGGCUUUCUUCUCUGAGGGAGUCCUCCAGCGUUGAAAACCUGGAGGAGAGACUGCAGAAGAUGGAGAUGCAGAUGGACAGCUUGGCCUCCAGCCUGUCCUUGAGUCCAAAGAGAGAGGAUAUCCAUCUCGCAGAAGGUCAGCGCGGCCAGGACAUCCCCACGGGCACCUGGGGUGGGGAGCCCUUAGCACAGCACUCAGCUAUCCACCCACCCUUCUGGCAGAAGACACGCUGUGAGCACUGGCCUGCCCUUCUCAACAAAAACAGGGCCAGAUGCACAGUCUGGACAGUCCUUGGAAGCAAAGUCCUCUGAAGCCAUGGCCAUCGGAGAUGUGUUCUCUGAGAGAGGCUAUGAGUGGGCACAUGCCUGCUGCAUGACACACCACUUGCUUUUCUUGUCUUAACCAGAAGCAACCACAGCACAUCCCUUUCUGAUUUUCACAUCUGCGUCAGAGGCUCAUAGUUCCGUGUAGCAUGUCACAUAGAGUGACAUGUAUUAGUUCCUGUAGGUGGCAGCCUUGGCCUGGACCUAAUAGAUUGAGGAGACAGGGCUGUGGAGUUGUGGAGGGAGACCAGGACAAAACUGUUUCCUGGAGGUUAUUCCCAGAGAUGGCCCAGACUUACCAACCUUUAAGAGUUGCCAGGGUGGCUCAGUAAGUUGAGGGUCUGACUCUUGAUUUCGGCUCAGGUCAUGAUCUCAGGGUCGUAGGACAGAGCCCCGCAUCCAGCUCUGUGCUCAGUGUGGAGUCUGCUGGAGAUUCUCCCUCUCCCUCUGCCUCUCCCCACCCUGUGCACGUGCUCCCUUUCUCUCUCUCUCUCUCUCAAAUAAAUCUUAAAAAAAAAGUUGCCUAGAACGGUGCAAAGAUCAGCACUUCCAAGGUAAGGGCUUCCAGAAGAGGUAUUCCCUGGCACAAAAGUGGGGGCUCCUUUCCCUACUCUCAGCAUCCAGCAGUGAUGAGCUGAAGCUGGAGCCUCUUCCAGGGAGUAGGGCCACUCUGCCCUCGCUUGGGAUUGUAGGCGUGUUUGGGGGGAAGGAGCUCAUCUGUCUCAAGUGCCUGACUGAGCCAUUAGGAAAGCACCUGCCAGUAUUCUGCUUUUUCUGCCGUCUGCACAGUGCCCUGCAGGCUGGUCCAAGAGGCUCAGUGUGAAAGGGGGACCUUCCCAGGUGCCCAGUGGGCUUGGACCUACAGGUACCUGGGGCAUCAGGGUGGGGCACAGUGGCCUGCAUGUAGGGAGUUCUGAUCAGGCCUGGGGAAGUCUUCCCUCUCUGGUAGAUGCUGCCUCGGACCUUGUUCACAUCCACCAGCUUCAGAAGGGGGCCAGCCGAGUCUGGGCUGCCUGCUAACCACUGGUCGGGGUGUUAGCAGACACCUGCAGUGGCACACAGGUGGGCAGGAGUCCUUUGUCCCCCGUGCCAUUGUCACGUCAGCAAACCGUGGGCUCGUGCACAGCUGGCCCCACAACGUUCAGUACACUAGGUUAGUGUGUGGUGCAGGCCUUAGGUGCUUGGGGAGCCCGGUGAUUCUUGGGAGUCUGGUCCUUCAAAAAUGGUGGCAGGCCAGCUCGAUUGAAGGCCCCCGAACACAUGCCCACCAAACCGGUGUGAGCAAACUGAGAACAGUGUCAGGGACUGGAAGACCACCUCUCUCAACCCUGCAGUCUCCUUGGGUUAGGGUCUCCGCCACCCAUUAGCAGGCUAUCGGCUAAUCAAACUGCUGCUGAGGGAGUGGUCUUGCCAGCAGAAGGCGCCACAGCCCCGUCCCUGGUCCGACGGCUGUGGCGGGGACAGCCCUGCAGCACAGCCAGGUCCCUGUCCCUGCCUCUGCAACUCUGCUCCAAACCGCGGAGUCCCACCCACAGAAACGGCCAGGGCCCUCCGAGGAGGUGCAGAUGCCAGGGUGUUCUGAGCCUCAGCACCAGGAGGGGCUCGGCUCCCCUCCUUUUCCCCAGCACCAGCCACAAAACCUUGGCCUUCCGCCUGGGAGCUUUUCCAGGGCUGGAGUUCGGACGGAGUAAAGCACUCUAAGGAGACUGCAGAACUCAGUUUACAUCUAAUUAACUGUAUUUUAAAGUCUGGGAUGUUAGUGGGGAAGAGGCAGAGUGAGCACGGAGUUGGUGCAGACAGAAGUACAUGCCUUGGUGGGGCUGAGGGACAGCAGG